CUCACGCUUGAUAGCUUUCUUGACUCUGCUGCUAUUCCAGAAGGGGUCGGCUUUGUUUUUGGAGCAGGAUUGUGGUCUAUAUAAUAAUAGGGUUAACCCCAACCCUUGGGUAGCUAAAAUUCGAAGUGAAACGAAUCGUCGACCUGUCUGCACUGGAACGCUUAUCAACAAACGAAUUGUCCUGACGACUGCAAGUUGCUUGGAAAAUCAAGGACCCUUCAUUGUUUGCCUGGGGAAGUGUGAAGGGUCGUUACGUGGUAAACUUUAUGAAGUACACCAUGUACUGGAGCGGAUUAUACACAAGAUGUACUCCAAACACUCCCAUCAGCAUAAUAUAGGUUUGCUAAAAUUGGUAAACGAUGUCGAGUAUAAGCCUUACAUCCAACCGAUAUGCAUACUGAUAGACUCCCAAAAGAUUUUUCCAACGUUAUCUCUUAGCAACUCAUUGUCGGGUGUAAAGAUGCAUUCUAAACCGACAAGCUCCGCUGGCCUACCAAGAGGGUCUAUUGGGAAGCCGUUGUCCAUUCCAACCAAAUUUGAAUCAAUUAUUAGAAAAGUUCAACAUGGAAUCCUAAGCUAUCGGAAUUCUACAAGUAAUGCUUUUAUUUAUACUCAUGUUUUAGCCUAUGCCGACUGGAUUAUAUCAAACGCUCUAGACGUUGAUAUAAUUCUAAAUGUUUAGCUUGUAGAUUAAAAAUUGUGUGCUUCUAAAAUAUCAUAAAGUAAAUAAGCAGUGCAAAUGAACAAAUUUCAUUGAAACGGUAAAUAAAAAUUC
Drosophila ficusphila is the source of this 775-nucleotide long non-coding RNA. RefSeq lists it as uncharacterized. The transcript has 3 exons. Lineage: Eukaryota; Metazoa; Arthropoda; Insecta; Diptera; Drosophilidae. The record is from RefSeq and is a predicted model, not a curated record.